This 892-nucleotide unclassified non-coding RNA is filed under the name uncultured Bordetella sp. RNAcentral's name for it is "partial 16S-23S ribosomal RNA intergenic spacer". It matches the Rfam family "Bacterial small subunit ribosomal RNA", at positions 594 to 1499 of the family's 1533-position model. Lineage: Bacteria; Pseudomonadati; Pseudomonadota; Betaproteobacteria; Burkholderiales; Alcaligenaceae. The record is from RNAcentral.
UGCGAAGUCAGGAACAACUUUGAACUGCGUUUAGCUACCGAUAGAGUGUGUCAGGCAGGAAGGUGGCGAUUCCGCGUGUAGCAGUGAAAUGCGUAGAUAUGCGGAGGGUACACCGAUGGCGGAAAGCCUCCUGGGAUAACACUGACGCUCAUGCACGAAAGCGUGGGGAGCAAACAGGAUUAGAUACCCUGGUAGUCCACGCCCUAAACGAUGUCAACUAGCUGUUGUUGGGGCCUUCGGGCCUUGGUAGCGCAGCUAACGCGUAGAAGUUGACCGCCUGGGGAAGUACGGUCGCAAGAUUAAAACUCAAAGGAAUUGACGGGGACCCGCUACAAGCGGUGGAUGAUGUGGAUUAAUUCGAUGCAACGCGAAAAACCUUACCUACCCUUGACAUGUCUGGAAUCCCGAAGAGAUUUGGGAGUGCUCGCAAGAGAACCGGAACACAGGUGCUGUGGCUGUCGUCAGCUCGUGUCGUGAGAUGUUGGGUUAAGUCCGCAACGAGAGCGCAACCCUUGUCAUUAGUUGCUACGAAGAGGCCUCUAAUGAGACUGCCGGUGACAAACCGGAGGAAGGUGGGGAUGACGUCAAGUCCUCGUGGCCCUUAUGGGUAGGGCUUCACACGUCAUACAAUGGUCGGGACAGAGGGUCGCCAACCCGCGAGGGAGCCAAUCCCAGAAACCCCGAUCGUAGUCCGGAUCGCAGUCUGCAACUCGACUGCGUGAAGUCGGAAUCGCUAGUAAUCGCGGAUCAGCAUGUCGCGGUGAAUACGUUCCCGGGUCUUGUACACACCGCCCGUCACACCAUGGGAGUGGGUUUACCAGAAGUAGUUAGCCUAACCGUAAGGAGGUACCACGGUAGGAUUCAUGACUGGGGUGAAGUCGUAACAAGGUAA